Long non-coding RNA from Oncorhynchus tshawytscha (Chinook salmon), 854 nucleotides. RefSeq lists it as uncharacterized. Lineage: Eukaryota; Metazoa; Chordata; Actinopteri; Salmoniformes; Salmonidae. The record is from RefSeq and is a predicted model, not a curated record. The transcript is spliced from 3 exons.
GCAUCAAAAGGCAGGGGACUAAGGGAGAAAAAAAAAGUGUCGCAAAACUCAAGAUUUCUCCUCAGACAAUGAAGAAGAGGUGAAGAAGCUGUCAAUGAAAAAGCAAGCACAUCAGUUGAAAACGAAAAACCUGAGUAGCUGGUGUGUGCGGUCACCAAAAUGCCGGAGGAUUUAAAGAGAGAGGACUUUGUUGAUCUAAGCUUUGGUGUUCAGGUGGCCAAGGAGAAGUUCCUGAUCAACAACAAAAAACAAGACCUGAUUGAGGUGCUCUUCACCAGGGAGGAGAUGGUGUUGUUCUCCGUGUCGGGCAGGAAAUCAAACAUCGUUCAAGAUUCUGUGACAAAGCCAGCUUUGUCAAGCAACAAAGUGCUCGCUCUUGUUGGUAUGACUCUAAUGAGCUAUGCUUAAAAUUGGUACAUCGUUUUUUAUUCCAAUUUUGAUGUAGAUCUUCCUUAUGACGUUGCUUUCGCAACACUCACAUGGCAUUUUCCCUUUGGGAAUCCAAUGGUAAUUUUUAUAGGGGAUCCAGCACGUCCAGUCUGCAACUAGCCAUGGAGUUUUAGAAGACAGCAGUGCGCUUGCAAGUCGGGAAUUGAGGAAGUACCGCCAAAGGUUUACAGCUAGUAAUGUCGCACUAGCCAUUGAUUUAUGUAGCUACUAAAACAGUGGUUGUCAAACCUCUCCUUGGGGUCCAGAACUAGCACACCUGAUUCAACUUGUCAACUAAUCAUCAAGCCCUCGAUUAGGUGAAUCAGGUGUGCUAGUUCAGGGCUUAAACAAAAUGGUGAGAUGUCUAGGGGUCCCCUACUGUAGGUGAAGCUAUAUAUAGUACAGUUCGAUUAUAUAUAAUAGAA